RNAcentral lists this ribosomal RNA (304 nucleotides) under uncultured bacterium. Its description in RNAcentral is "bacterial SSU rRNA". It matches the Rfam family "Bacterial small subunit ribosomal RNA", at positions 28 to 334 of the family's 1533-position model. The record is from RNAcentral.
GACGAACGCUGGCGGCGUGCCUAACACAUGCAAGUCGAACGGAGUGUGACUUCGGUUAUACUUAGUGGCGAACGGGUGAGUAACGCGUGAGAAACCUGCCUUUCAGUGGGGGACAACAGUUGGAAACGACUGCUAAUACCGCAUAAUGUUUCGAGAGGGCAUCCUCUUGAAACCAAAGCUUUAUGUGCUGAAAGAUGGUCUCGCGUCUGAUUAGCUAGAUGGCGGGGUAACGGCCCACCAUGGCGACGAUCAGUAGCCGGUCUGAGAGGAUGAACGGCCACAUUGGGACUGAGAUACGGCCCAG